This 833-nucleotide ribosomal RNA is filed under the name uncultured bacterium. Its description in RNAcentral is "bacterial SSU rRNA". It matches the Rfam family "Bacterial small subunit ribosomal RNA", at positions 8 to 814 of the family's 1533-position model. The record is from RNAcentral.
AGAGUUUGAUCCUGGCUCAGGAUGAACGCUGGCGGCGUGCCUAACACAUGCAAGUCGAACGAACCUUGGGGAACAGAUUACUUCGGUUUGAAGUUCCCCGCUGGUUAGUGGCGGACGGGUGAGUAACGCGUGGGUAACCUGCCGUAUGCAGGGGGAUAACAGUUAGAAAUGACUGCUAAUACCGCAUAAGCGCACAGUAUCGCAUGAUACAGUGUGAAAAACGAUAGUGGCAUACGAUGGACCCGCGUCUGAUUAGCUAGUUGGCGGAGUAACGGCCCACCAAGGCGACGAUCAGUAGCCGGUCUGAGAGGAUGAACGGCUACAUUGGGACUGAGACACGGCCCAGACUCCUACGGGAGGCAGCAGUGGGGAAUCUUCCGCAAUGGACGAAAGUCUGACGGAGCAACGCCGCGUGAACGAUGACGGCCUUCGGGUUGUAAAGUUCUGUUAUACGGGACGAAUGGCGUAGCGGUCAAUACCCGUUACGAGUGACGGUACCGUAAGAGAAAGCCACGGCUAACUACGUGCCAGCAGCCGCGGUAAUACGUAGGUGGCAAGCGUUGUCCGGAAUUAUUGGGCGUAAAGGGCGCGCAGGCGGCGUCGUAAGUCGGUCUUAAAAGUGCGGGGCUUAACCCCGUGAGGGGACCGAAACUGCGAUGCUAGAGUAUCGGAGAGGAAAGCGGAUUUCCUAGUGUAGCGGGGAAAUGCGUAUAUAUUAGGAGGAACACCAGUGGCGAAAGCGGCUUUCUGGACCACAACUGACGCUGAGGCGCGAAAACCGGGGAGCAAACGGGAUUAGAUACCCCCGGUAUCCACCCUGUAAACCAAUAAAU